This 429-nucleotide ribosomal RNA is filed under the name Chloroflexota bacterium. RNAcentral's name for it is "Chloroflexi bacterium partial 16S ribosomal RNA". It matches the Rfam family "Bacterial small subunit ribosomal RNA", at positions 355 to 776 of the family's 1533-position model. Lineage: Bacteria; Bacillati; Chloroflexota. The record is from RNAcentral.
UGGGGAAUAUUGCACAAUGGGCGCAAGCCUGAUGCAGCCAUGCCGCGUGUGUGAAGAAGGCCUUCGGGUUGUAAAGCACUUUCAGCGGGGAGGAAGGCGUUAAGGUUAAUAACCUUGGCGAUUGACGUUACCCGCAGAAGAAGCACCGGCUAACUCCGUGCCAGCAGCCGCGGUAAUACGGAGGGUGCAAGCGUUAAUCGGAAUUACUGGGCGUAAAGCGCACGCAGGCGGUCUGUCAAGUCGGAUGUGAAAUCCCCGGGCUCAACCUGGGAACUGCAUUCUAAACUGGCAGGCUAGAGUCUUGUAGAGGGGGGUAGAAUUCCAGGUGUAGCGGUGAAAUGCGUAGAGAUCUGGAGGAAUACCGGUGGCGUAGGCGGCCCCCUGGACAAAGACUGACGCUCAGGUGCGAAAGCGUGGGGAGCAAACAGG